GUUUGUGGCUCAAUGGUAGAGUGCUCACCUAGCACAUGCGAGGCCCUGGGUUUGAUUCUUAGCACUACA
RNAcentral lists this transfer RNA (69 nucleotides) under Marmota monax (woodchuck). Its description in RNAcentral is "tRNA.Ala". The record is from RNAcentral. Lineage: Eukaryota; Metazoa; Chordata; Mammalia; Rodentia; Sciuridae.